UACGGAGGGUGCAAGCGUUAUCCGGAUUCACUGGGUUUAAAGGGUGCGUAGGUGGGCUAGUAAGUCAGUGGUGAAAUCUCCGGGCUUAACCCGGAAACUGCCAUUGAUACUAUUAGUCUUGAAUACCAUGGAGGUGAGCGGAAUAUGUCAUGUAGCGGUGAAAUGCUUAGAUAUGACAUAGAACACCAAUUGCGAAGGCAGCUCGCUACGCAGUUAUUGACACUGAGGCACGAAAGCGUGGGGAUCAAACAGG
RNAcentral lists this ribosomal RNA (253 nucleotides) under uncultured bacterium. Its description in RNAcentral is "partial 16S ribosomal RNA". It matches the Rfam family "Bacterial small subunit ribosomal RNA", at positions 524 to 776 of the family's 1533-position model. The record is from RNAcentral.